RNAcentral lists this ribosomal RNA (288 nucleotides) under uncultured bacterium. RNAcentral's name for it is "partial 16S ribosomal RNA". It matches the Rfam family "Bacterial small subunit ribosomal RNA", at positions 29 to 334 of the family's 1533-position model. The record is from RNAcentral.
AACGAACGCUGGCGGCAUGCCUAACACAUGCAAGUCGAACGAGAAGGUUUCUUCGGAAACUGGACAGUGGCGCACGGGUGAGUAACGCGUGGGGACCUACCUUUUAGUACGGAACAACAGUUGGAAACGACUGCUAAUACCGUAUACGCUCUUCGGAGGAAAGAUUUAUCGCUAAAAGAUGGACCCGCGUUGGAUUAGAUAGUUGGUGAGGUAAUGGCUCACCAAGUCUGCGAUCCAUAGCUGGUUUGAGAAGAUGAUCAGCCACAUUGGGACUGAGACACGGCCCAG